AUGGAACGAUACAAAACAAGAGUAGCGUUUGGACAUGAAACACACAACCAAUACUGCCUGGGGAGUGGAACGAAGGGAGCGACAGAUAUAGGGGAGGUAAACAGUGAAGGAGUCCAGGUGAGUCUCAUAAUGAGGCGCUUUGGGGGGGUAACGAUGGUGCCAGGUGUACAUAAUGAUGGUUGUCAGAGGCAGUGAUUUGUAAAUCUGCGACGUCGAGCGCCGGAGAGGGGGAGCGGGAGUAGGCGUGACAGUACCCCCCCAUCCGUCCGUCCCCGUCGUGGGGACAGUUUGAGCCAGGGGACCAGGAACCACCGGCCUGAGAAGGGAGACAUGAAAGGAAGGUGAGAUACGAUAGUCACUGGGGAGCUGUAAUCCAUACGUCACCUCGUUGACCCUCCGGAGAACCUUGAACGGCCCCACAAACCGGGGUUCAGCUUCUUGCAGGGCAGGCGGAGUGGGAGGUUCCUGGUAGAGAGCCAAACACGAUGGAACACGGGAGUUUCACUGCGGUGGCGAUCCUCCUACUCCUGACAUUGGACGGCGCGCUGGAGUCUCACAUGGGUAUCGCUCCACACUUCUUCUGUGUGCCUAAACCACCGCAGGAGCUUCGGUCUGGCCCGGGUCCACGGAGCCAGGACCGUCUGAUAACCCAGAACACACUGGAAUGGAGUCAGUCUGGUGGAGGAGUGACGUAACAAAUUCUGGGCAUACUCUGCCCACAGAAGGAAUCGGGCCCACUCCCCCUGCCGGUCCUGGCAGUGGCUCCUCAGGAACCUCCCCAGCUCCUGGUUCAUCCUCUCCGCCUGCCCUUUAGACUGAGGCCUAUACCCGGAAGUGAGGCUGACCGUGACCUCAAGCUUCUCCAUGAAGGCUCUUCAUGUCCGUGAUGUCAAAUUGGGAGCAACAGUCGGAGACGAUGUUCUCCCGAAGGCCAUAAUGCCAGAAGACCUGCUGGAACGCUGCCUCAGCGACCUGGAGAGCAGUAGGGAGACCAGAGAGAGGGAUAAAAUGGCAGGAUUUAGAGAAUCUAUCUGCAACCACCAAAAUGGUGGCGAUACAAUCAGAGGAGGGGAGAUAAGUGACACAAUCAAUGGACAGAUGUUACCAGGGAUGCUGAGGCACGGAAGGAGUUUCCCUGCUGGAGCGUGCCAGGGCACAUACGGAACAGGAGUUGACGUACUGAAUAACAUCUUGCGCCAAGGUGGGCCACCAAUACUUUUUGGAGAGAGAUUGUAUAGUACGGAUGGUCCCUGGAUUUACAGCGACAAUAGCUGUGUGCGCCCAAGUUAGCAGCCGAUCCCUUAUCCCCGUGGGAGGUAGUGGGUGCGGUUUCCCUUUCCAGAGCCUGGCGAAUGUCCACAUCAAUGUCACAGACCACAGGAGCUAUGACUCGAGAGGGGACGGGAUAGCAGUUCCUCCGGCAUUCAGGUGACCAGUCUGUGAUUCUCAUCCUCGACCAUACGAUGGUGGGGUUAUGGUGUUGGAGCCAUGGGAGGCAGAGGAGCUGGUGCACUAGUGAUGAAGGGAAUGUUUUCCUGAUGAAUGGACUCCACGAUGAGGGUGAGGGGCGUGAUGAUGUGUGAUGGUUCCGGAUCCUGGUGGGCAAUUAUCAAAGGCUUGAUCCGGAAACAGAGAGAAGAGCGGGUAAGAGUCUGGUCAUUAAAGUUCCCAGUGGCACCAGAAUCCACAAGUUCUGUAUAAACAGUACAUGAGGGACAGCCAGCUAGUGUGACCGACACUAAAAAGUGUUUGGCAGAAAAUUCUGAAAAUGGGAUACUCACAACUGCCCCAGGAGGUGGAUGAUCACGUGACCGUCUCUCUGCUCUCGUGGAUCCCGAGUUGGGAAGUACCGGACAUUGCUGAAGCUGGUGCCCCCCUUGACCACAAUAGGGACAGAGCCCCAGCUGUUUCCGUCUGCGUUGUUCAGGCUCCAAGGAGAGGUUGUCGUCUCGACAUGCCAGUUGUGUCUGGACCUUCUCGCGCAGUCCUCUUCUGAAUAGCGUACGGAGCGCCGGCUCAUUCCAUCCGCUGGAUGCUGCUACAGUCUGGAAGGUGAGCGUGUACUCGGCAGCGUUCUGGUCAUUCCUGCCGUAGUUGGAAUAGGCGCUCACUCCCCUCUCUGCCCUACGGCGGAUGAACGAAGAUACCUCUGAACAGAGCCAUGAACCCCUCAUACGAAGCCAGCUCCUCCUCUCUUCUCUCCCAGAUGGCUGUAGCCCACUCCAACGCCCGCCCAGUCAGCAGAGAAAUAACCAAGGCAACCUGGGACCUCUCGGUGGUGAGGGCUCCCAUCUGUUGCGCAAAAUAGAGGGAGCACUUAAGUAGGAAGCCACUUAGAUGGGAUUCCGUGCUUGUACCAAUCCUCUACUCCGUCAUAUUUAUCCGGGAGGGACAAAUGGGCAGUGCUGACCUGGGCGGACUGCUGAAUGGACUGGCUCGCUGGGUCGACUGGUGGCAGAGUAUCCUCUGCUAGUUGAAGGUUGUCAGAUGCAGUGAUUACAGCUACCAUAGAGCAUCCUGACACAUCUACAACUAUCGUACAUCCUCUGACACCUCUACCCAUGGCUCCAAAUGUUCACCACCCCCUGAUAUCUCUACCCACGGCCCCAAAUGUUCACCACCCCCUGAUAGCUCUACCCACGGCUCCAAAUGUUCACCACCCCCUGAUAGCUCUACCCACGGCUCCAAAUGUUCACCACCCCCUGAUAGCUCUACCCACGGCUCCAAAUGUUCACCACCCCCUGAUAGCUCUACCCACGGCUCCAAAUGUUCACCACCCCCUGAUAGCUCUACCCAUGGCUCCAAAUGUUCACCACCCCCUGAUACCUCAACCCACGGCUCCAAAUGUUCACCACCCCCUGAUACCUCUACCCAUGGCUCCAAAUGUUUCACCACCCCCUGAAACCUCUACCCACGGUUCCAAAUGUUCACCACCCCCUGAUACCUCUACCCACGGCUCCAAAUGUUUCACCACCCCCUGACACCAACACACCUCUGUUGCACAGUCACUCUCUGUCUCCCUAAAACCACAUCUUUCACAAAUCUAAAUGAACUGUAAGUCUGUAAAUCUAUUAAUGAGGAAAAGUUCUGCUUCAAUAUGAUCAGUUCCUCAGUACCCUCUUUCUUCAUGUUAAGUGUAUUGAGACAGCAAACAGUACUGGUCGGAAAACAUCCAAAAGAUCACAUUCUUUAUCAAAUAAGACGUGAGAUGUGAUGUUCAGAGAGAGUAAAAAAAGGGAGCACUAGAAGAUCUAUUGAAAUAAUCCACCGUCGGACCGGGAGCAAGGCUUUGGGUACAGACAGUGUCCUCUGGUUAUCUCCUGUCAGAGAGAGCUUGGAGGUUGGUUGGAGAUGGAAAGCAGACAGUUGCAGGGAUCAGGACACACCAUGUUCCUCUGGUACAGGGCUUCUAGGUCUGAUUGUCUGGGUACAGAGCUCUGAGUAGAGGGCUCUGGGUCUGGGUGUCUGGGUAGAGGGCUCUGGGUCUGGGUGUCUGGGUAGAGGGCUCUGGGUCUGGGUGUCUGGGCAGAGGGCUCUGGGUUUGGAUGUCUGGGUAGAGGACUCUGGGUCUGGGUGUCUGGGUAGAGGGCUCUGGGUUUGGGUGUCUGGGCAGAGGGCUCUGGGUUUGGGUACAGGGCUCUGGGUCUGGGUGUCUGGGUAGAGGGCUCUGGGUCUGAUUGUCUGGGUACAGGGCUCUGAGUAGAGGGCUCUGGGUCUGGGUGUCUGGGUAGAGGGCUCUGGGUCUGGGUGGAGGGCUCUGGGUCUGGGUAGAGGGCUCUGGGUCUGGGUGUCUGGGUAGAGGGCUCUGGGUGUCUGGGUAGAGGGUUCUGGGUCCGGGUGUCUGGGUAGAGGGCUCUGGGUCCGAGUGUCUGGGUAGAGGGCUCUGGGUGUCUGGGUACAGGGCUCUGGGUCUGAUUGUCUGGGUACAGGGCUCUGGGUCUGGGUGUCUGGGUAAAGGACUCUGGGUCUGGGUGUCUGGGUAGAGGGCUCUGGGUCUGGGAACCUGGGUAUCUGGGUAGAGGUGUCUGGGUAGAGGGCUCUGGGUCUGGGUGUCUGGGCAGAGGGCUCUGGGUUUGGAUGUCUGGGUAGAGGACUCUGGGUCUGGGUGUCUGGGUAGAGGGCUCUGGGUUUAGGUGUCUGGGCAGAGGGCUCUGGGUUUGGGUACAGGGCUCUGGGUCUGGGUGUCUGGGUAGAGGGCUCUGGGUCUGAUUGUCUGGGUACAGGGCUCUGGGUUUGGGUACAGGGCUCUGGGUCUGGGUACAUGGGUCUGGGUGUCUGGGUAGAGGGCUCUGGGUUUGGGUACAGGGCUCUGGGUCUGGGUGUCUGGGUAGAGGGCUCUGGGUUUUGAGUGAGUCUGGCUGGUCUCUGGGUCUCAGGCUGGUUGUCCUCCUGCUGGUCCUCUGUGCUGCUCUCAGACUCAGUGUUCCUGUGUGUCUGCUGGUACCAGUGUAACAGAGGUUAAAAUAUCUUCCCUCAUAAUAUCAAAUUGGUUUAUUUUCUAUAGCUUAAUCUCAGUCAUUUUGUGACCAGACCAGUCCUCUACUCAGCGAUGUUGAGUGUCUCCUGGUACCAGCUCUACUCUGUCAUGUUGUGUCUCCUGGUACCAAUCCUCUCCUCUAGUUGUGUGUCUGCUGGUACCAGUCCUCUCCUCUGUCCUGUGUGUCUCCUGGUACCAAUCCUCUCCUCUAGUUGUGUGUCUCCUGGUACCAGUCCUCUCCUCUAGUUGUAUGUCUCCUGGUACCAGUCCUCUCCUCUAUCCUGUGUGUCUCCUGGUACCAAUCCUCUCCUCUAGUUGUGUGUCUCCUGGUACCAAUCCUCUCCUCUAGUUGUGUGUCUCCUGGUACCAGUCCUCUUCUCUAGUUGUGUGUCUCCUGGUACCAGUCCUCUCCUCUAGUUGUGUGACUCCUGGUACCAGUCCUCUCCUCUGUCCUGUGUGUCUCCUGGUACCAAUCCUCUCCUCUAGUUGUGUGUCUCCUGGUACCAGUCCUCUCCUCUGUCCUGUGUUUCCUGGUACCAAUCCUCUCCUCUAGUUGUGUGUCUCCUGGUACCAGUCCUCUCCUCUGUCCUGUGUGUCUCCUGGUACCAAUCCUCUUCUCUAGUUGUGUGUCUCCUGGUACCAGUCCUCUCCUCUGUCCUGUGUUUCCUGGUACCAGUCUUCUCCUCUAGUUGUGUCUGCUGGUACCAAUCCUCUCCUCUAGUUGUGUGUCUCCUGGUACAAGUCCUCUCCUCUAGUUGUGUGUCUCCUGGUACCAGUCCUCUCCUCUUGUUGUGUCUCCUGGUACCAGUCCUCUCCUCUAGUUGUGUGUCUCCUGGUACCAGUCCUCUCCUUUAGUUGUGUGUCUGCUGGUACCAGUCCUCUCCUCUAGUUGUGUGUCUCCUGGUACCAAUCCUCUUCUCUAGUUGUGUGAUUCCUGGUACCAGUCCUCUCCUCUAGUUGUGUGUCUCCUGGUACCAGUCCUCUCCUCUGUCCUGUGUUUCCUGGUACCAGUCCUCUCCUCUAGUUGUGUCUGCUGGUACCAGUCCUCUCCUCUAGUUGUGUGUCUCCUGGUACCAAUCCUCUCCUCUAGUUGUGUGUCUCCUGGUACCAGUCCUCUCCUCUAGUUGUGUGUCUCCUGGUACCAGUCCUCUCCUCUAGUUGUGUGUCUCCUGGUACCAGUCCUCUCCUCUAGUUGUGUGUCUCCUGGUACCAGUCCUCUCCCUCUAGUUGCGUGUCUCCUGGUACCAGUCCUCUCCUCUAGUUGUGUGUCUCCUGGUACCAGUCCUCUCCUCUAGUGCUGUGUCUCCUGGUACCAAUCCUCUCCUCUAGUUGUGUGUCUCCUGGUACCAGUCCUCUCCUCUAGUUGUGUGUCUCCUGGUACCAGUCCUCUCCUCUAGUUGUGUG
This 5881-nucleotide long non-coding RNA is filed under the name Salmo salar (Atlantic salmon). RNAcentral's name for it is "lncRNA (ENSSSAG00000087370.1, ENSSSAG00000109087.1)". The record is from RNAcentral. Lineage: Eukaryota; Metazoa; Chordata; Actinopteri; Salmoniformes; Salmonidae.